AGCUUACAUGGACGGUCUUGCCUCAA
This 26-nucleotide non-coding RNA is filed under the name Homo sapiens (human). Lineage: Eukaryota; Metazoa; Chordata; Mammalia; Primates; Hominidae. The record is from RNAcentral.